This 76-nucleotide transfer RNA is filed under the name Pseudomonas aeruginosa. Its description in RNAcentral is "tRNA-Val". It matches the Rfam family "tRNA". From Rfam's summary of the family: Transfer RNA (tRNA) molecules are approximately 80 nucleotides in length. Their secondary structure includes four short double-helical elements and three loops (D, anti-codon, and T loops). Further hydrogen bonds mediate the characteristic L-shaped molecular structure. tRNAs have two regions of fundamental functional importance: the anti-codon, which is responsible for specific mRNA codon recognition, and the 3' end, to which the tRNAs corresponding amino acid is attached (by aminoacyl-tRNA synthetases). tRNAs cope with the degeneracy of the genetic code in two manners: having more than one tRNA (with a specific anti-codon) for a particular amino acid; and 'wobble' base-pairing, i.e. permitting non-standard base-pairing at the 3rd anti-codon position. The record is from RNAcentral. Lineage: Bacteria; Pseudomonadati; Pseudomonadota; Gammaproteobacteria; Pseudomonadales; Pseudomonadaceae.
GGGUGAUUAGCUCAGCUGGGAGAGCAUCUGCCUUACAAGCAGAGGGCCGGCGGUUCGAUCCCGUCAUCACCCACCA